AUGAACGCUGGCGGCGUGCCUAAUACAUGCAAGUCGAGCGAACAGACGAGGAGCUUGCUCCUCUGACGUUAGCGGCGGACGGGUGAGUAACACGUGGAUAACCUACCUAUAAGACUGGGAUAACUUCGGGAAACCGGAGCUAAUACCGGAUAAUAUAUUGAACCGCAUGGUUCAAUAGUGAAAGACGGUUUUGCUGUCACUUAUAGAUGGAUCCGCGCCGCAUUAGCUAGUUGGUAAGGUAACGGCUUACCAAGGCGACGAUGCGUAGCCGACCUGAGAGGGUGAUCAGCCACACUGGAACUGAGACACGGUCCAGACUCCUACGGGAGGCAGCAGUAGGGAAUCUUCCGCAAUGGGCGAAAGCCUGACGGAGCAACGCCGCGUGAGUGAUGAAGGUCUUCGGAUCGUAAAACUCUGUUAUUAGGGAAGAACAAAUGUGUAAGUAACUAUGCACGUCUUGACGGUACCUAAUCAGAAAGCCACGGCUAACUACGUG
Molecule: ribosomal RNA, 496 nt
Filed under: uncultured bacterium
Lineage: Bacteria
Description: partial 16S ribosomal RNA
Rfam family: Bacterial small subunit ribosomal RNA
Source: RNAcentral